UGUUGGCGAGAGGCGCGGGUCUGCAUCAGUAGCGCGUUCGAGACGAGAGGUCGUCGAGGACGGCGCGUGAAGGGGCGGCCCGCCGAGAUCUCACGAUGACCUCGGGUCGUGUUGAUCGGGCCGUGACGCGAAAGCUCACGGACUGUCGCGUCCGCGAGGGCACGCGGGCGCGGAGCGCUGCCGCGCUGA
This 189-nucleotide non-coding RNA is filed under the name Chloroflexota bacterium. RNAcentral describes it as "Chloroflexi bacterium Lysine sequence". It matches the Rfam family "Lysine riboswitch aptamer". Rfam says of the family: Riboswitches are metabolite binding domains within certain messenger RNAs that serve as precision sensors for their corresponding targets. Allosteric rearrangement of mRNA structure is mediated by ligand binding, and this results in modulation of gene expression. The record is from RNAcentral. Lineage: Bacteria; Bacillati; Chloroflexota.